This 272-nucleotide ribosomal RNA is filed under the name uncultured bacterium. RNAcentral's name for it is "partial 16S ribosomal RNA". It matches the Rfam family "Bacterial small subunit ribosomal RNA", at positions 334 to 598 of the family's 1533-position model. The record is from RNAcentral.
GAUGGCCUAGGGAGGCAGCAGUAGGGAAUCUUCCACAAUGGACGGAAGUCUGAUGGAGCAACGCCGCGUGAGUGAAGAAGGGUUUCGGCUCGUAAAGCUCUGUUGGUAGUGAAGAAAGAUAGAGGUAGUAACUGGCCUUUAUUUGACGGUAAUUACUUAGAAAGUCACGGCUAACUACGUGCCAGCAGCCGCGGUAAUACGUAGGUGGCAAGCGUUGUCCGGAUUUAUUGGGCGUAAAGCGAGUGCAGGCGGUUCAAUAAGUCUGAUGUGGA